UGGGGAAUAUUGCACAAUGGGCGCAAGCCUGAUGCAGCAACGCCGCGUGAGGGACGAAGGCCUUCGGGUUGUAAACCUCUUUUAGCAGGGAAGAAGCGAAAGUGACGGUACCUGCAGAAAAAGCACCGGCUAACUACGUGCCAGCAGCCGCGGUAAUACGUAGGGUGCAAGCGUUGUCCGGAAUUAUUGGGCGUAAAGAGCUCGUAGGCGGUUUGUCACGUCUGCUGUGAAAACCCGAGGCUCAACCUCGGGCUUGCAGUGGGUACGGGCAGACUAGAGUGCGGUAGGGGAGAUUGGAAUUCCUGGUGUAGCGGUGGAAUGCGCAGAUAUCAGGAGGAACACCGAUGGCGAAGGCAGAUCUCUGGGCCGUAACUGACGCUGAGGAGCGAAAGCAUGGGGAGCAAACAGGCUUAGAUACCCUGGUAGUCCAUGCCGUAAACGUUGGGAACUAGAUGUGGGGACCAUUCCACGGUCUCCGUGUCGUAGCUAACGCAUUAAGUUCCCCGCCUGGGGAGUACGGCCGCAAGGCUA
RNAcentral lists this ribosomal RNA (531 nucleotides) under uncultured bacterium. RNAcentral's name for it is "bacterial SSU rRNA". It matches the Rfam family "Bacterial small subunit ribosomal RNA", at positions 355 to 896 of the family's 1533-position model. The record is from RNAcentral.